UACGAAGGGGGCUAGCGUUGUUCGGAAUUACUGGGCGUAAGGCGUGCGCAGGCGGCCAUCCAAGUCAGUGGUGAAAGCCCGGAGCUCAACUCCGGAAUUGCCAUUGAAACUGUUUGGCUCGAGUACGAGAGAGGUGAGUGGAAUUCCCAGUGUAGAGGUGAAAUUCGUAGAUAUUGGGAAGAACACCGGUGGCGAAGGCGGCUCACUGGCUCGUAACUGACGCUCAUGCACGACAGCGUGGGGAUCAAACAGG
This 253-nucleotide ribosomal RNA is filed under the name uncultured bacterium. RNAcentral describes it as "partial 16S ribosomal RNA". It matches the Rfam family "Bacterial small subunit ribosomal RNA", at positions 524 to 776 of the family's 1533-position model. The record is from RNAcentral.